GACUGAAUGUGAGCUGGACAUAUACUAAGACUGGAAAUGAUACAGAGAAGAUUAGUAUGGCCCCUGCACAAAGAUGAUAGGCAAAUUCGUGAAGCGUUCUGUAUUUUU
Ornithorhynchus anatinus (platypus) is the source of this 108-nucleotide small nuclear RNA. NCBI's taxonomy places the organism in Eukaryota, Metazoa, Chordata, Mammalia, Monotremata, Ornithorhynchidae. The record is from RefSeq and is a predicted model, not a curated record.